AACCUUACCUGGCAGGGGAGAUACCAUGAUCACAAAGGUGGUUUUCCCAGGGCAAGGCUUAUCCACUGCACUCCAGAUGUGCUGACCCCUGCGAUUUCCCCAAAUGUGGGAAACUCGACUGCAUAAUUUGUGUUAGUGGGGGACUGCGUUCAUGCUUUCCCCGG
RNAcentral lists this small nuclear RNA (164 nucleotides) under Aotus nancymaae (Ma's night monkey). Its description in RNAcentral is "U1 spliceosomal RNA (ENSANAG00000002362.1)". It matches the Rfam family "U1 spliceosomal RNA". From Rfam's summary of the family: U1 is a small nuclear RNA (snRNA) component of the spliceosome (involved in pre-mRNA splicing). Its 5' end forms complementary base pairs with the 5' splice junction, thus defining the 5' donor site of an intron. The record is from Rfam by way of RNAcentral. Lineage: Eukaryota; Metazoa; Chordata; Mammalia; Primates; Aotidae.